Molecule: ribosomal RNA, 899 nt
Filed under: uncultured Candidatus Poseidoniales archaeon
Lineage: Archaea; Methanobacteriati; Thermoplasmatota; Candidatus Poseidoniia; Candidatus Poseidoniales
Description: bacterial SSU rRNA
Rfam family: Archaeal small subunit ribosomal RNA
Source: RNAcentral
UUCCGGUUGAUCCCGCCGGAAGCGACCGCUAUUGGAGUUCGAUUAAGACAUGCGAGUCUGAGCAUUAGCUCGGCGUACCGCUCAGUAACACGUGGGUAACCUGCCCUAUCGUUUUGAAUAACCUCGGGAAACUGAGAACAAUACAUCAUAGUCCACUACGCCUGGAACGGUGAGUGGAUGAAGGUAGGAUGGGCCUGCGGCGUAUCAGGUUGUAGGGGGUGUAAUGGACCUCCUAGCCAUCGACGCGUACGGGUGUUGGGAGACAUAGCCCGGAGAUGGAUUCUGAGACACGAAUCCAGGCCCUACGGGGCGCAGCAGUUACGAAAACUUGGCAAUGCGGGAAACCGUGACCAGGGAACUCCAAGUGAGUCUCUUUUAGGGGCUCUUUUCUUGACUCUAAAACGGUCUUGGAAUAAGGGGUGGGUAAGGACGGUGCCAGCCGCCGCGGUAAUACCGGCGCCUCAAGUGGUCGUCGCUUUUAUUGGGCCUAAAACGUCCGUAGCCGGUUUGGUACAUUCGUGGGUAAAUCAGCCCGCUCAACGAGUUGAAUUCUGCGAGGACGGCCAUACUAGGGACCGGGAGAGGUGUGGGGAACUCUCAGGGUAGGGGUAAAAUCCUGUCAUCCUGAGAGGACCACCUGUUGCGAAGGCGCCACACUAGAACGGAUCCGACGGUCAGGGACGAAGCCUAGGGGCACGAACCGGAUUAGAUACCCGGGUAGUCCUAGGUGUAAACGCUGUGGACUUGGUGUUGGGGAAGCCCAGAGCUUUCCCAGUGCCGUAGCGAAGGUGUUGAGUCCACUGCCUGGGGAGUACGGUCGCAAGGCUGAAACUUAAAGGAAUUGGCGGGGGAGCACUGCAACCGGAGGAGUGUGCGGUUUAAUUGGAGUCAACGCCGGA